This 5236-nucleotide long non-coding RNA is filed under the name Equus caballus (horse). RNAcentral describes it as "lncRNA (ENSECAG00000057677.1)". The record is from RNAcentral. Lineage: Eukaryota; Metazoa; Chordata; Mammalia; Perissodactyla; Equidae.
GGCAGCCCCUCCUCACAGCAUGAGAGGGAGUUGGGAGGGGCGGCACCCCAAAAAGAAGGCGUGGGCGGAGCCUGGGCAGAUGGAACCCUAGGUGAGCAUUUCCUCUCUUCACCAAGACUGGAAAGUGGGGUGGUGAGGUGGCUUUUGAGGGUGACAGGACCCUAGAAGGCUGCUGAGGUCCCAGGGAAGGGUCCCUGGUUGAACUUUCUGUGGCACACGGGUUUAAGACUAAAUUAGACAAUCCGUGAGAAAUGCUUCACGGAGCACCGGGCGCCUAGGAAGGGCUCACCCCCCAUUGGCUGGUGUUAUUAUCAUUGAUUACUUACAGAAGAGGUUAUUUGAAAUAAGGGCUCUCUGGCUAAAGGGACUUGAAAUGGCUGGCCUAUUGGAAUGGAGGUCCAGGGGCCUGAGGACCUGUGACCUGGCAACGGUGUGACCCAGGGCAAACCUCGGCCUCCUCCUGCAGACUGGAUCUGCCCACCCGGGGCCCCUGUGCCGACUGGAAAGCAGGCCCCACCCACCCCACCCCUGGGGAACAGCCCCGUGCGAGGGCUCGUGACUGGGGGGCCGGCCAGCUUGCACCUCAACCCCACCUGCCCGCUGAGUUGGCUGCCCUUAUGCAGUGUGCAACCUGCGCAUCCUUCCCGGACUCGGUCUCCUGUUUGGUGGGGUGGGGGUCACACAGCACCCUGUGCAUGUCCAUCAGGGUGGCUGUGACUGUUGAUGAGGUGCUGACUGUGCAAGGGUUUGAACCUGCUGCGCCUCGUGAGGAGGGGCGGAAACGUCACCACAGAGAGGUGACCAGCAGAGGUCCCGGGUGGUGGGAGGGCAGAGGCUGGGAGGGUGAGUCGAAGUCGGGGAAGAUCUGCCCGGAAGGCUCCUGCCUGCCCCCAGGGAGAGGCGUGGGCGUCCCUCCUCCACCAGGCCUCACCCCAGCACUGACAGGCCCCCACUGAUCAGCCAGCCGAGAGCCCCGCCUGCCCAGGCCUUUUAGCCGAGGCCUUGGGCCUUCAUUGCCUCCAGGCUGCCAGACCCAGCGGGCCGGAGAAGUACCGGCCCCUCCGCCAACCCGGGGCAGCCUCCCGUCAGCCCGGAGACACCAGAGACUCCUCCCCACACGGGCUGCAGCCCUCAAAGCCAGACGCAGCUGGGUGCUUCUGCCCUCAGGCAGGUUCCUCUGACAGCCAAGGGCAGGAUCUUCCAAUCGCGCCUGAUCCCAAGGAUCACCUGGGGCACUUGUCAAAAUACAGCUUCAGAGCGGCUGCCCUAGCAUCCAGCGAGUCCAGGUGGGGCCCAGGAGUCUGCAUUUCACCAGCACCCCGAACGAUGUGACGGACACUGAAGUUGGACAGUCACAUAGCCACCGAGAUUAAGAGGGUGGGCUAUGGAUCCCUUCCGAUCUGGGUUAGAUGCUGUGUGACCUUGGGCAAAUGACUUAACCUCUCUGGUUCCCUCUGAGUCAAAAUAAGGACAACAGAUUACCUACCUCAGACGUUCAAUGUGAAGCCCGAGUCCCUGCGGCGAAAGUUCUUAGAAGCAGCCCAGUAAGCACCAGCAGAUGGCAGUGACUGUGGUGGUGGUUAUUAUUAUUAAUAUCAUCGCUACCCCCUGCCUCCCCAGGAUGUCAAGUCCCUUAAGUGAAGGGCUUGGGGGCCCACAGGGCACCUGCUGUGGCUCUGCUCCUGCGUUUUGUCCCCUCCCGGGGCCCCGGAUGGGAGCUCGGCCCUGUGCGCCCUGAGGGUCUGUGAAUGCCAUUAGCUCUGCGGCGCACCCCCUCCUGCCCGCUCCACACCUCCCCUCCCCAGAGCCCACCAGGCAGCGUCUGCUUCUGCCAUCAGGCGGCCCCACACGCUGCCCCUUUGGGGUGGGUGGUCGUCCCCCUGAAGGUGGUGAGCAGAGCGCAGCAGGCCCGGCUGGGGGGCGGGGAGAGGGGUGCGCAGGGCGCGCGGGGCUCACGCUGGAGUUCAGGGUCUGCGCCCGGCGCUGGGCCAGACGCGGGGUCCAAACCCUCGCCCGGGCCGGGCGAGGCUGGGACGAGGAUGUCCGAGUGCAGGAGAGCAGGGCGGGGUGCAAAGGGUCCGCGCACCCCUCUCCCGUCCUCUCUCGGCCCGAGGGUGCGGGGUCCCGACAUCCCGGCUCCACAGCGCGUGCGGCGCCGCCAAGGAGCCGCCGGGGUCCGCGCACCCCUGAGCGGGUUUCUGCGGGAGAAGGAGCGCGAGCGGGGCGGCUCCGAGCUGGUCCGGCGAUGCCGCGGGGGCGCUGCCACCGCAUCCCCGACACGGGUCCCGCCAGGACCCAGCGCGGUCCCCCCUCACGUCCGCGCCGCACAAACCACGUUAGUGGAGACGAAAUGGAGUCACUCCCCCCCACCCCAUGUCCUCAUCCUCCCUGACCCUUCCGUCCUGUCCCCACUGGACACAAUCCUGGCGGAGCUGCCACUCGGUCUAGAGCCGCAGUCUGGAUGUUUUUUCCCUACUUAACCUCAUAAAAAUCAUAAAAUGUUUUCUAUUUAUCGUAGUGUUUCAUUCAAUUCAAUAAAAACCUACUGGACAUCCCUCGGGCGCCAGGCCCUGAGUUUUCAUCCCGAGGAAAUGUCGCUCGCUAAACUCGACACCUGCACAGGAGCUGUAAUAUAAAGAAGCAUGAAGAACCUCGUGUGAAAUGAAACCUUGUUGGACACAUCAGUGCUCCAGCCUAGCCGCUCUGGGAGACGCGAUGAGAUGGUCAGGAGCUCGCAGCCCCACAGAACCAUCGUGAAGGUGACAGCCGCAGGUGGACAGGAAUGCGGAGCUCUGAGCCAGGACGCCACACCCCAACAGCGACACUGUCCAGAACGAUGAGGACGCUGCGCACCUGGUGGGAGGGGCUGAGCCCGGACGCUCACCCGAGGCUGUCUAACAUCCACCGAGUCUGCGCACGGCCUUCUCUCCUGUCGAUGAGAACUGGGCUGGCACCGGGGACCCAAAUACGAGAAGGGCACCUCUCAGGGGGACACCGACACCGGGAUGCUCCCUCCACAGCCUGGUGAGGAAAUGACAGAGGACGUGUGAAGUGCAGGGGACGUGCAGCCAAGGAGCGACCAUAGAGCGAGAGUUCCAGUGGUAGAGAAGGGGGACAAGCAAGCGGGAACAGCAUUCAGGCAGGGGGAACUGCAUGGAUAAAGGCAUAGAGGACUGGGGAGCUGGACACGCUCCUUGGGCGAGGCAGGGGGUGGCGGAGGGGCAUGGGCCUGGACCAGGAGACUGUGAUGUCAUUGCAAAGCAUCCAGGAGGCCCAGCGAAGCAGUGUGGUUUGGGCUGGGGAGGCAAUGGGGAGCCAUGAGAGGCUUUAGAGCCGGGCAGCUGCAUGAGGGCGUGGGUUGUAGAACAAUCCUGGGAGCCGGGAGGAGGAGGAGGCCCAGAGGGUGGAGAGACGAGCUGGGGACCAGGGAGGGGGUGUCUCAACAGCCCAGGGUUAACACGGCAGCUCCUUAAAGUCACAGAGGGGAAUGUCAGCGCUUCUCUCUGAGCCACCCUGCUAGGAAGAGGGGUCUCUGUGGACCGCACCCCCACUUGCUACGAGAGGACAGUGGGAGGGCACUCCCUCCACCCCUGCUCUCUGUGUGUGUGUGUUGGGGUGGGAGGGGAGAAGGACGGGAGCCUGGGUCCUUUCCGGAAGCUGGAGGCAGGGUGCCAGCGGCAGGUUCCUGAGCAAUUCCCAGGACCAGGGGAGGGGGCCCCAGACCUGAGCUCAGCAGCUCCAAGAUGCGCCGGCCCCGCAGUCCCCAGCCCGCCCCACCCUUCCCGAGGUCCUGCAAGCCCCCCAACCCCACGCCCCCGUCCCACCCCGCAGAGUCCUCCAGGGGCUCUCUGCCUCGGCAACAGAAGUGAGACGUCCCCAGUGGUGCGGUGACUUCCACCGUCUCCCUCAGUGCCCACAGUGGCCCUGGGAGAGGGGCACCCGCGCCACCCCUAUUUCACAGACGGGGAAACGGAAGCUGGGGGAGGCUGCCACUCACCCGAGGACGCAGAGCCAGGCAGAAAUCGCGUGCUGCGACAUGGACCGGCCCCACCACCCCAGCCCCGCGUGCAGGCAGGGCCCGCACAUCUGGACACCCCAGCCUCGGUGCCCCAUGCCAGCAGAGAGAGUGGCCGUGGGGCCUCCCCAGCAGGCGCCCGGCCCUGGAGCCUCCAGGAACCUCGCUCCCUAUCACAGUCAUGCACAGGGCCUGCCUCCCGCUCUCUGUCCCCUGGGGCAGGAAACAGCCCGGAGAGAGAUAAGGAGAAGAGAAGGAGGGGGGGCUCCGGGGAGAGGGCCCUCCCCACACACAGCAGAAGAAUAGAAGGAAACGGCUGGAGAGAGGCCAGCGUCUGCCCGGGGCAGGGGGUUAUCUUGGUCUAUAAAUAACCCCAGCUCCAGGCUCCCAGGACGGGGAGGGAAGGGACUGAGGCCGAGGGCCUGGACUCUGCGGUGGGCUUGGGGUGGGGGCGGCGGUCAUUCCUGUUGGCCAGGGAUUCAGACCAAAGGGCCAAAGGGGAUAAUGGCCCGACCUGGGACCCUAACCCUCACCUCCCGCUAGGGGGCUCUGACCCUGUACUUGACCAGGGGGUCCUGCAGCCCCCCGUUCCUCCCCCGUCCCCAUCCACUCACCUGUCCACCUACCCUUCCCGCCUCCCUCCCUGCCUCUGAGCUUCCCAUUUGCUGUUCCUUCUGUCUGCAACACUCUUCCUGCCCUCUUCACCUUGCUGACUCGCCCUCCAGGCCCCAGCCUAGGCGCACACUCUCCAGGAAGCCUUCUCGGACCCCCAGUCGGGGGUCAGGGUGGUAGCCGGUGGCGGCCGCAGCCCGGUCUUCCCUUCCCACAGCACUUAUCACAGUUACAUUUUCACACUCACGCCCCUCCCACCCCCGAGGGAGCUGAUGUUUCCACAGCGCCUAGGGCGACGCCUGGCACACAGUAGGGGCUCAAUAAAUUCGUUUGGUGUCUCCAUGUUCCAUCUGUCUUCCCUCUCUCCCCCCUCCUCCCCUCCUCCCUUCCUGAGUGCCGACCUCAGCCAGGCUGCUGUCGGUCCCUGCCCCUGAGGAUGGCUGAGCCUGGUGAGGGAGGAGAGAGGGGAGCGGAGGGGAGCAGGGCCAGGCCACAAAUCACACGACACAGGUGGAGAGAGAGACCCACCGACUCCUCGGACUUCAGACGACUGAGCUCUCUGUUCAGGGGGAGGGGGUGAGGAGGUAAUGAGGGUGGGCUUCAAGGAGG